GACCUCAAAUCAGGUAGGACUACCCGCUGAACUUAAGCAUAUCAAUAAGCGGAGGAAAAGAAACUAACAAGGAUUCCCCUAGUAACUGCGAGUGAAGCGGGAAAAGCUCAAAUUUGAAAUCUGGCAGUUCUUUUGACUGUCCGAGUUGUAAUCUAGAGAAGUGUUACCUGUGCUGGACCAUGUACAAGUCUUCUGGAAUGGAGCAUCAUAGAGGGUGAGAAUCCCGUCUUUGACAUGGACUACCAGUGCACUGUGGUGCGCUCUCAAAGAGUCGAGUUGUUUGGGAAUGCAGCUCAAAAUGGGUGGUAAAUGCCAUCUAAAGCUAAAUAUUGGCGAGAGACCGAUAGCGAACAAGUACCGUGAGGGAAAGAUGAAAAGAACUUUGGAAAGAGAGUUAAACAGUACGUGAAAUUGCUGAAAGGGAAACGCUUGAAGUCAG
RNAcentral lists this ribosomal RNA (439 nucleotides) under uncultured fungus. RNAcentral's name for it is "eukaryotic LSU rRNA". It matches the Rfam family "Eukaryotic large subunit ribosomal RNA", at positions 1 to 432 of the family's 3401-position model. The record is from RNAcentral. Lineage: Eukaryota; Fungi.